RNAcentral lists this ribosomal RNA (512 nucleotides) under uncultured bacterium. RNAcentral describes it as "partial 16S ribosomal RNA". It matches the Rfam family "Bacterial small subunit ribosomal RNA", at positions 28 to 507 of the family's 1533-position model. The record is from RNAcentral.
GAUGAACGCUGGCGGCGUGCCUAAUACAUGCCAGUCGAACGAAACUUCUUUAUCACCGAGUGCUUGCACUCACCGAUAAAGAGUUGAGUGGCGAACGGGUGAGUAACACGUGGGCAACCUGCCCAAAAGAGGGGGAUAACACUUGGAAACAGGUGCUAAUACCGCAUAACCAUAGUUACCGCAUGGUAACUCUGUAAAAGGUGGCUAUACUACCGCUUUUGGAUGGGCCCGCGGCGCAUUAGCUAGUUGGUAGGGUAAAGGCUUACCAAGGCAAUGAUGCGUAGCCGAAUUGAGAGGUUGAUCGGCCACAUUGGGACUGAGACACGGCCCAAACUCCUACGGGAGGCAGCAGUAGGGAAUCUUCCACAAUGGGCGAAAGCCUGAUGGAGCAACGCCGCGUGGGUGAAGAAGGUCUUCGGAUCGUAAAACCCUGUUGUUAGAGAAGAAAGUGCGUGAGAGUAACUGUUCACGUUUCGACGGUAUCUAACCAGAAAGCCACGGCUAACUACGUG